Molecule: long non-coding RNA, 1240 nt
Organism: Gopherus evgoodei (Goodes thornscrub tortoise)
Lineage: Eukaryota; Metazoa; Chordata; Testudines; Testudinidae
Exons: 3
Source: RefSeq, a predicted model, not a curated record
GACUCUCCUGCCAGCACCGCCCCCUCCUCUCCCUCUGUAGGGCCCCAGCAGCCCCUUCAAGCCCCCCCAACCUGCCCCCCAGUGUCUCCCCAUCUGUUGUGACCCUCUUGCCAGCUCCACCCCCAUCUGUGGUUAUCCCUCAGCCCCCAGCAUCCCCUCCUCCAUCGUGUACACUCUGCCUGGCCUUUCCCUUCGCCCCGACCUCCUCCUCCCCCCUGUCCUGAGCACCCCGACACCGGCCUCCUCUCGCCCCAUCUCUCACAUCCUCCUUCCCGUCCUCAGCACCCCGACACCGACCUCCUCUCGCCUCAUCUCCCACAUCCUCCUUCCUGUCCUCACCACCCCACACCCCCUUCCUCCUCCUCCUCCCCAUCCCUGUCCUCAGCGCCCCAUGCCUAAUUCCCUCCAACCCAUUUCUCAUUGCUGGGCCCCACUUUCCCAUCCCCCCCAGUCCAUCCCCAGGGUGUGAGGUUCCUCAUCUUCAAUCUUUGCUACACCCAAACCUGCCAGGUUCCCCUUUUCAACCGCUGUGGGGUCGUCCAACCGCCGACACCCAUCCACUCUGGGCUCUCUAAAUCCCACAUUCCCGCAAUGCACCUUGGUAACGCCACUCUCCUCUGUCCCUAAUCCCCCUGUUCCCUUAGGUCCUUCUGGACACCCCAACCGACAGUCAGGCCCCCACAUACAUCCCAGUCAUUCACAUGCAGAGCUAGUUCUUCAGGGACCCCCACAGCCCAGCAAACUUCUCCUUUCAUGAGCCCCAUGGACCUGUGGCCGGGAAGGUGAGGAAGCUCCCACUUUGGCUGGGCUGGGUGUGGGUGUUAAUCUUUUCCUGUCUUGUGUGUGCUGUGCUCACAAAGGCUUUUUGCUCCCUCGGGUGAGGUGUGGUUUUGGCCGAAGAUGAGGUGUUUUGGUAGCCCUGUGGAUGCUGUGUGGUGUCUGGAAUGGGGCGUGUGUGUUCCCAUCAUGCCCCUUCCCCUCUGCCUGCAGAGCUGAGGACAGACAGGUCUGAGGAGCAGAGCAGGAGCUCUGGGAAGGAGAAGAGCAAUAUGAAGAUGGAGUGUAAGAUGAGGCCAGGGAAGAGAAGUCGCGGGGACGGAGUCCAGCCCUGAGGUGAGAUGGAAAGUGAUCGAGAGCAGUGACAGCGUGAAUCCUGUUGAUGCCAGGCAAGACCUGCCCAACUGGGACAAGAGUAACCAUCUCUGUCGAUCAUUUAUGAAUAAGUUGAACAGUACUGCUC